Molecule: ribosomal RNA, 477 nt
Filed under: uncultured bacterium
Lineage: Bacteria
Description: bacterial SSU rRNA
Rfam family: Bacterial small subunit ribosomal RNA
Source: RNAcentral
GACGAACGCUGGCGGCGUGCUUAACACAUGCAAGUCGAGCGGGAACCUGAGGAGGGGUAACCCUCUUCAGGGGAGAGCGGCGAACGGGUGAGUAUCACGUGGGCAACCUGCCCCGGACACCGGGAUAACCCAGGGAAACCUGAGCUAAUACCGGAUACUCCGGCGCGAUCGCAUGGUCGCGCCGGGAAAGCUCCGACGGUCCGGGAUGGGCCCGCGGCCUAUCAGCUUGUUGGUGGGGUAACGGCCCACCAAGGCGACGACGGGUAGCUGGUCUGAGAGGACGGCCAGCCACACUGGGACUGAGACACGGCCCAGACUCCUACGGGAGGCAGCAGUGGGGGAUCUUGCGCUAAUGCGCGAAAGCGUGACGCAGCGACGCCGCGUGGGGGAUGAAGGCCCUCGGGUUGUAAACCCCUUUCGGCAGGGACGAAGGGAAACUGACGGUACCUGCAGAAGAAGUCCCGGCUAACUACGUGC